AUUGAACGCUGGCGGCAGGCCUAACACAUGCAAGUCGAGCGGAGCGGCGGACGGGCGAGUAAUGCCUAGGAAUCUGCCUGGUAGUGGGGGAUAACGUCAGGAAACGGGCGCUAAUACCGCAUACUAUCAGCUGAGCCUAGGUGGGAUUGGCUAGUUGGUAGGGUAAAGGCCUACCAAGGCGACGAUCCGUGACUGGUCUGAGAGGAUGAUCAGUCAAACUGGAACUGGAAAAGGGUCCAGACUCCUACGGAGGGCAGCGGUGGGGAAUAUUGGACAAUGGGCGAAAGCCUAAUCCAGACAUGCCGCGGGUGUGAAGAAGGUCUUGGGAUGGUAAAGCACGUUAAGUGAGGAGACGUUACCAACAGAAUAAGCAACGGCUAACUUCGUGCCAGCAGCCGCGGUAAUUC
This 407-nucleotide ribosomal RNA is filed under the name uncultured bacterium. RNAcentral describes it as "partial 16S ribosomal RNA". It matches the Rfam family "Bacterial small subunit ribosomal RNA", at positions 29 to 526 of the family's 1533-position model. The record is from RNAcentral.